This 408-nucleotide ribosomal RNA is filed under the name uncultured bacterium. RNAcentral describes it as "partial 16S ribosomal RNA". It matches the Rfam family "Bacterial small subunit ribosomal RNA", at positions 28 to 526 of the family's 1533-position model. The record is from RNAcentral.
GACGAACGCUGGCGGCGUGCUUAACACAUGCAAGUCGAACGAAGUGGCGAACGGGUGAGUAACGCGUCAUCAACCUGCCCUUCAGAGGGGGACAACAGUUGGCAACGCCUGCUACUACCGCAUACGGAAGGAGGGUAUUGCGUCUGAUUAGCUAUUUGGAGGGGUAACGGCCCAACAAGGCGAUGAUCAGUAGCCGGUCUGAGAGGAUGAACGGCCACAGUGGGACUGAGACACGGCCCAGACUCCUACGGGAGGAAGCAGUGGGGAAUCUUCCGAAAGGGACGAAAGUCUGACGAAGCAACGCCGCGUGAGUGAUGACGGCCUUCGGGUUGUAAAGCUCUGUUAAUCGGGACGCGGUACCGGAAUAGAAAGCCACGGCUAACUACGUGCCAGCAGCCGCGGUAAUAC